Molecule: ribosomal RNA, 468 nt
Filed under: uncultured bacterium
Lineage: Bacteria
Description: partial 16S ribosomal RNA
Rfam family: Bacterial small subunit ribosomal RNA
Source: RNAcentral
GACGAACGCUGGCGGCGUGCUUAACACAUGCAAGUCGAACGGAAAGGCCCUGCUUUUGUGGGGUGCUCGAGUGGCGAACGGGUGAGUAACACGUGAGUAACCUGCCCUUGACUUUGGGAUAACUUCCGGAAACUGGGGCUAAUACCGGAUCGGAGCUCCUGCUGCAUGGUGGGGGUUGGAAAGUUUCGGCGGUUGGGGAUGGACUCGCGGCUUAUCCGCUUGUUGGUGGGGUAGUGGCUGACCAAGGCUUUGACGGGUAGCCGGCCUGAGAGGGUGACCAGCCACAUUGGGACUGCGAGACGGCCCAGACUGCUACGGGAGGCAGCAGUCGAGAGUAUUGUACAAUGGGCGGAAGUCUGAUGCAGCAACGCCGCGUGCGGGAUGAAGGCCUUCGGGUUGUGAACCGCUUUCGCCUGUGACGAAGCGUGAGUGACGGUAAUGGGUAAAGAAGCACCGGCUAACUACGUG